This 427-nucleotide ribosomal RNA is filed under the name uncultured bacterium. RNAcentral's name for it is "partial 16S ribosomal RNA". It matches the Rfam family "Bacterial small subunit ribosomal RNA", at positions 355 to 774 of the family's 1533-position model. The record is from RNAcentral.
UGGGGAAUAUUGGACAAUGGGCGAAAGCCUGAUCCAGCCAUGCCGCGUGUGUGAAGAAGGUCUUCGGAUUGUAAAGCACUUUAAGUUGGGAGGAAGGGCAUUAACCUAAUACGUUAGUGUUUUGACGUUACCGACAGAAUAAGCACCGGCUAACUCUGUGCCAGCAGCCGCGGUAAUACAGAGGGUGCAAGCGUUAAUCGGAAUUAAUGGGCGUAAAGCGCGUGUAGGGGGUUUGUUAAGGUGGAUGGGAAAUCCACGGGCUCAACCUGGGAACUGCAUUCAAAACUGACUGACUAGAGUAUGGUAGAGGGUGGUGGAAUUUCCUGUGUAGCGGUGAAAUGCGUAGAUAUAGGAAGGAACACCAGUGGCGAAGGCGACCACCUGGACUAAUACUGACACUGAGGUGCGAAAGCGUGGGGAGCAAACA